This 67-nucleotide transfer RNA is filed under the name Trichopsidea sp. Its description in RNAcentral is "tRNA-Ser". The record is from RNAcentral. Lineage: Eukaryota; Metazoa; Arthropoda; Insecta; Diptera; Nemestrinidae.
AGUUAAUGAGCUUGAACAAGCAUAUGUUUUGAAAACAUAAGAUAGAAAAAGAAAUUUCUAUUAACUU